Arabidopsis thaliana (thale cress) is the source of this 571-nucleotide RNA transcript. RefSeq lists it as uncharacterized. NCBI's taxonomy places the organism in Eukaryota, Viridiplantae, Streptophyta, Magnoliopsida, Brassicales, Brassicaceae. The record is from RefSeq. The transcript has a single exon.
UUGUGGAUUCCAGCAUUUUUCUAGUUUUUUAUAGAUUUAGGUACUUAUAACUUAAUACAUCGACCGUUUUACCCUUUAAUUUAAUGGAUUAUUGACUUUACUCGUUAUGUUUUUUUUUUCCUUCUCGUUUCGUUUAUCACCGAACGAUUGCGGAGAUGUCGUCAAAGUCAAUCGCUCUCCCAUAAAAUUCGAUUAUUUCGCUGGCUCUUCAAUGACAUGAAACCUACUGCUGAACUCACCAUUGAUGCUCAAUUGCUUCUCCAUCUCCUCAACCAAAAUUUUGAUUCAGAUCCAGCGUCGUUGAUCUUCUUCUUUGACGAAGCAUGCGAUUAUCAUCCAUACCUUUUCUGAAUUUUAAUUUCUCGAUGUAAAUCAGAAUUCUAUCAUCUCUCGUUUUAUUUUUAAAGAGAAAGAAGGAAAAUCAUUAAAAUCUUAAUAGAUUUGAUUAUUUUAAAAGCGUUUAUGUAUCCAUUUAGGGUGUAGCUUUCUUCCAUUAAAAACAGUUAUUUGAUUCUAUUGGGUUGAUUAGAACAAGGUUGUUGGUGUAGAGAUGUUUGUGAGGUCAUUGAAG